This 24-nucleotide non-coding RNA is filed under the name Arabidopsis thaliana (thale cress). The record is from RNAcentral. Lineage: Eukaryota; Viridiplantae; Streptophyta; Magnoliopsida; Brassicales; Brassicaceae.
CUUACAAGCUGCUAACAACAAUGG